UCGGAAUUGCUAGUAAUCGCAGAUCAGCAUGCUGCGGUGAAUACGUUCCCCGGGCCUUGUACACACCGCCCGUCACACCAUGGGAGUCGGUAACACCCGAAGCCUGUAGUCUAACCGCAAGGAGGACGCAGUCGAAGGUGGGGAUUGAUGACUGGGGUGAAGUCGUAACAAGGUACC
This 177-nucleotide ribosomal RNA is filed under the name uncultured bacterium. RNAcentral's name for it is "partial 16S ribosomal RNA". It matches the Rfam family "Bacterial small subunit ribosomal RNA", at positions 1326 to 1500 of the family's 1533-position model. The record is from RNAcentral.